RNAcentral lists this ribosomal RNA (468 nucleotides) under uncultured bacterium. RNAcentral's name for it is "partial 16S ribosomal RNA". It matches the Rfam family "Bacterial small subunit ribosomal RNA", at positions 28 to 507 of the family's 1533-position model. The record is from RNAcentral.
GACGAACGCUGGCGGCGUGCUUAACACAUGCAAGUCGAACGGAAAGGCCCUGCUUUUGUGGGGUGCUCGAGUGGCGAACGGGUGAGUAACACGUGAGUAACCUGCCCUUGACUUUGGGAUAACUUCAGGAAACUGGGGCUAAUACCGGAUAGGAGCUCCUGCUGCAUGGUGGGGGUUGGAAAGUUUCGGCGGUUGGGGAUGGACUCGCGGCUUAUCAGCUUGUUGGUGUGGUAGUGGCUUACCAAGGCUUUGACGGGUAGCCGGCCUGAGAGGGUGACCGGCCACAUUGGGACUGAGAUACGGCCCAGACUCCUACGGGAGGCAGAAGUGGGGAAUAUUGCACAAUGGGCGGAAGCCUGAUGCAGCAACGCCGCGUGCGGGAUGACGGCCUUCGGGUUGUAAACCGCUUUCGCCUGUGACGAAGCGUGAGUGACGGUAAUGGGUAAAGAAGCACCGGCUAACUACGUG